CAUUAAGUCAGGGGUGAAAGUUUGCGGCUCAACCGUAAAAUUGCCCUUGAUACUGGUGGUCUUGAGUUAUAGUGAAGUGGCUAGAAUAUGUAGUGUAGCGGUGAAAUGCAUAGAUAUUACAUAGAAUACCGAUUGCGAAGGCAGGUCACUAACUAUACACUGACGCUGAUGGACGAAAGCGUGGGGAGCGAACAGGAUUAGAUACCCUGGUAGUCCACGCCGUAAACGAUGGAUACUAGCUGUUCGGGCGCAAGCCUGAGCGGCCAAGCGAAAGUGAUAAGUAUCCCACCUGGGGAGUACGUUCGCAAGAAUGAAACUCAAAGGAAUUGACGGGGGCCCGCACAAGCGGUGGAGCAUGUGGUUUAAUUCGAUGAUACGCGAGGAACCUUACCAGGGCUUAAAUGUAGUCUGACAGCUUUAGAGAUAGAGUUUUCUUCGGACAGAUUACAAGGUGCUGCAUGGUUGUCGUCAGCUCGUGCCGUGAGGUGUCAGGUUAAGUCCUAUAACGAGCGCAACCCCUGCCGUUAGUUGCCAGCAUGUUAUGAUGGGGACUCUAACGGGACUGCCGGUGCAAACCGCGAGGAAGGUGGGGAUGACGUCAAAUCAUCACGGCCCUUACGUCCUGGGCCACACACGUGCUACAAUGGCCGGUACAGAGAGCAGCCACGUCGCAAGGCGGAGCGAAUCUAUAAAACCGGUCACAGUUCGGAUCGGGGUCUGCAACUCGACCCCGUGAAGCUGGAAUCGCUAGUAAUCGGAUAUCAGCCAUGAUCCGGUGAAUACGUUCCCGGGCCUUGUACACACCGCCCGUCAAGCCAUGGAAGCUGGGAGUGCCUGAAGUCCGUCACCGUAAGGAGCGGCCUAGGGCAAGAUCGGUAACUAGGGCUAAGUCGUAACAAGGUAGCCGUACCGGAAGGUGCGGCUGGAACACCUCCUUUCU
Molecule: ribosomal RNA, 940 nt
Filed under: Arenibacter sp. 6A1
Lineage: Bacteria; Pseudomonadati; Bacteroidota; Flavobacteriia; Flavobacteriales; Flavobacteriaceae
Description: bacterial SSU rRNA
Rfam family: Bacterial small subunit ribosomal RNA
Source: RNAcentral